This 253-nucleotide ribosomal RNA is filed under the name uncultured bacterium. RNAcentral describes it as "partial 16S ribosomal RNA". It matches the Rfam family "Bacterial small subunit ribosomal RNA", at positions 524 to 776 of the family's 1533-position model. The record is from RNAcentral.
UACGGAGGGUGCAAGCGUUGUUCGGAAUUACUGGGCGUAAAGAGCGUGUAGGCGGUCGAUCAAGUCCGGUGUGAAAGCCCGGGGCUUACCCCCGGAAGUGCGCUGGAAACUGGUCGACUAGAGUAUGGGAGAGGGAAGUGGAAUUCCUGGUGUAGCGGUGAAAUGCGUAGAUAUCAGGAGGAACACCGGCGGCGAAGGCGGCUUCCUGGACCAAUACUGACGCUGAGACGCGAAAGCGUGGGGAGCAAACAGG